UGCCUUCGGGAGCGCAGUGACAGGUGCUGCAUGGCCGUCGUCAGCUCGUGUCGUGAGAUGUUGGGUUAAGUCCCGUAACGAGCGCAACCCUUGUCCUUAGUUGCCAGCGGUCCGGCCGGGAACUCUAGGGAGACUGCCGGUGACAAACCGGAGGAAGGUGGGGAUGACGUCAGGUCAUCAUGGCCCUUACGGCCAGGGCUACACACGUGCUACAAUGGGGCGCACAGAGGGCAGCAAGCGCGCGAGUGCAAGCGAAUCCCUUAAAACGCCUCGUAGUCCGGAUCGGAGUCUGCAACUCGACUCCGUGAAGUCGGAAUCGCUAGUAAUCGCAGAUCAGAAUGCUGCGGUGAAUACGUUCCCGGGCCUUGUACACACCGCCCGUCACA
Molecule: ribosomal RNA, 386 nt
Filed under: uncultured Pseudomonas sp.
Lineage: Bacteria; Pseudomonadati; Pseudomonadota; Gammaproteobacteria; Pseudomonadales; Pseudomonadaceae
Description: bacterial SSU rRNA
Rfam family: Bacterial small subunit ribosomal RNA
Source: RNAcentral